UAAUUUAAAGGGGUUAUUAAGGAACAAAAAAGCAAAUUUAUAAAAAAGGAGGUAAAUACCAAAAGCUUUAAAUCUGAAUUUUAGUAGGAAAAGGAUCUAUUUUAACAAAAUUUUACUUUAUAUAAAGUAAUAUUAGUAUAAAAUAUUAUAUAAAAAAGCGAUCCUAAGGUAAACCUUAAUUAAAAAAAACUUCCUGAAGUAAAACAUUUUAUGUAAGGAAAGGAAAGGAAAUCAACCGAGACUCCGAAAGUAAUGGCGAGUGAAAUCGGAUUAGCCUAAUCUAUUUGUAACAAAAAAAUUUAAAUAUUAACUUGAAAUCUUAUUAAACCGAUAAAGACAAAAUAAUAGUUUAAGUAUUAAACAUUGUUCAAAGCCUAGCUAAGCAAUUAUUUAUAAAUAAAAAUAUAAAUAGCAAAGCAAGUCCUAGGAACAAUUAGUAAAUAUAUUAAUCAUGUUAUUUUGUACAAAAUAAGGUAUUCGAGUCCUGUAGAGUUAAUAACAAAUAAAUUGCCUAACUUCUCCUUUCUUUUUAUUUAUAUUUUUAUAAUAAUAAAAAUCCAAUUUUUAUUAUUAUAAAAAGCUGGAAGGGGGAAUAGUUAGAAUAAAGUACGAUGAGAGUUAACUUGUCGGAAUAUAGGGGAACCAUCCUCUAAGGCUAAGUAUUAUAAAUUUAGCAAUAGCGAAAAGUACUGUAAAGGAAAAUUUUGAAAAGCAAGUAGUAUACUAAAGAUAUCAUAAAUAAAAAAAAAGGUAGUGUUAUUUUAUAAUAUUAUCUUUUUUUUAUUAAUUUAACUUAUUACUUAUCUUUAUUUUUUUAACUAUCUCUUCUAGAACCCUCUUUUUUAUUUAUAUAUAAAAAAUAUAAAUAAAAACUCUUGCAUUUGUUUUCACCCUUUUACAAAGGUUGAAAACCAAAGAGCUAGAGGAGGAAACUAGAGCAGAGGUAGUUUAAAAAAACUAAAUAAGUAUAUAAAUUAUAAAAUAUGGUAUGGGUGAAAAGAUCGUGAAUUAGUAACUCUAUAAGCAGUCGAAGUUUCACAGCAAGUUAAUAGGAGUAGCAAGGUUCAAACCUUAGCGAAAGCGACUGGACUAUAAAAAUAGUGAUGGGUAAGUUACUUCUAUUAGACCCGAAGCCAGGUGAUCUUACCAAGACCAGAUUAUAAUGGAUCGAACGGUUGAAUGUUGCAUAAUUCUCCGAAGAGUUUUGGUAAGCGGUGAAAUGCCAAUCUGACCUGGUGCUAGCUGGUUUUCUACCGAAACAUAUUUAAGUAUGAUGUCUAUCUAUAGAUUUAUGAAGGUACAGCAAGGCGAUUCCCAACAAGUUUAAUUUAAAUAAUUAUUUAAAUUUUAUACGUUUAGGUUGCGGGGACCUCGAAAAUCUUACCUUUGGAAGCGAAUCUCGGAAUUACAUAAAUUGAUGGUAGAUAUUCAGACUGUUCAUGCUAAGUUGGACAGUCAAGACGGAAACAGCCGAGAACACUGAUCAAGGUCCCAAAUGAUUGUUAAGUGAAAUUAAGGACGUAGCAAUAUCGUAUACAGCUGUGAAGUGAGCCUGGCAGUCGCUACUUAUAAUGAUCGUACGUAACAACGCAUCAGCAGUAAUUUUACUUAAAAAAAAGUAAUAAAUGAUAGUAGCGCCGAAAAUUUAACGGGUCUUAAACAAUCAACCGAUAUCGUGUUGGUUAAAAAUAAUUUUUACAUAGGUUGCAUAGAAUUAUUUUUAAUCUAGGUAGUAGAACAUUCAGUAAAACUGUUUAUAAAAUAGUGUUUCAUUAUUUUGUAGGUUACUGAAGAGAGAAUGCUGACAUGAGUAACGUAAAAAAUUCCUAUAAUGGAAUUCGCCGAAUACGAAAGGGUUGCAAAUAUGAAAGGUUAAACCGUUUUGUUUUAAUGCGGCCUCUAAGGACUAUAGCCAAAGCUAUGGCUGAUGAGUAAUAAAUAGAAAGUCCAAUAUUUAAAAAAUGGACCAGGAAAAUAAUAUUUAAUUUUAUCCUCCCUUUGUUUAUAUUUUUAUAAAAAUAUAAAUAAAAAUCCUUCGGACUUCAGCUCCGUAGGAGGGGUAAAAACUACCGUACCCUAAACCGACACAGGUUCGUAGGUAGAGUAUACUAAGGCGUAGAGCUAAAAGUUGUUAAGGAACUCGGCAAGUACACCUCAUAAGUUUGACGACAAGAGGUACCUUAAGUAAUAUACCUUAAGGUGGCACAAAAUCGGAGGCCCCGACUGUUUACUAAAAACACAACACAGUGCAAUCAUUAAUAUGGUAGUAUACUGUGUGAAAUUUGCCCGAUGCCAUUAAUAUAAGAAAAGUUAUGGUUAUUAUUUACUGUGACUAAUCGAAAAUCUGGUUAAUAGCGGUCUUAACUAUGAGGAUCCUAAGGUAGCAAAAUCAGUUGGCCAUUAAAUGUGGUCCGGUAUCAAUAAUGUAACGAUGGUCUCACUGUCUCUACAACUUGCUCAGUGAAAUUGAAUUACGCGUGCAGAUGCGCGUUGCCUCCAGGGGGACGGGAAACUUAAAUUGAAAACCUGGAGUUAGUUUUAAAUAACUAAAAAAAUAGCGACUAGAUAAGUCUACAAUAGCAAUACGGUGUAAUUCCGUCUUAUAAUCCAUAAUUUGAGCUCUAAUAGAGUGCGUUGAAAGUAAUUUUAAAGCAUAAAGCCUAUGAAUAAAGAGCUAGAUACCUAGGGGCAAAAGGUUGGGUUUGUGUUUACCUGAUAAUUUAAAAUUUAAAAUCUCAGGGAUAGUUGACUAAUUGGCAGUUUGACUGGGGCGGUCGUCUUUAAUAGAGUAGCAAAGUACAUCCAAAUAUAUCAAACUACAAGUAAAAACAAACCUUUUCUCUCCUUCCUUUUUUUAUUUAUAUUUUUUAUCUCUUGCUUUUGCAUGUUUAUACCUUUUGGUAUAAACCAAAAGGCAAGAGCAAAAGAUAAAUAAAAAUAUAAAUUUUUAUAAUAAUAAAAAUCCAAUUUUUAUUAUUAUAAAAAGCUGGAGGAUAAAGUUUUAUAACAAAAAAGUUUAAUCUUUUUAAAACUAUUAUAAGUAUAUUUAUAUAAUCUAAUUAUGGUCAAAUUAAUUAUAUUUAUAUGGCUUUAUUUUAGCUUUAAUUAAGGUUUAAAUUUUUAAUUUUUUAUUUUUAAUAUAUAAUUUAUAAGGUAUAGCUAGAAAUUGAAUGGAGAUCAAUCAACCAGUGAAGGGUUGCGCAGGGCUCAAUGGCGAUAAGCAUGCUUAACUGAAAGACUCAAAAGUCGCACAGAUACGUAAGUAGGGCAUAGUGACCCCUCGCUAUAGUAUGGGAUAGACGGGGAUCAAUUAAUAAAAGUUACGCUAGGGAUAACAGGCUGAUCGCGGACGAGAGUACACAUUGUCUCCGCGGUUUGGCACCUCGAUGUCGACUCAUCCUAUCCUCCGGGGGAAGAAGCUUGGAAGGGUUCGGCUGUUCGCCGAUUAAAAGGGUACGUGAGUUGGGUUUUAAUACGACGUGAGUCAGUAUGGUCCCUAUCUUCUGGAGGGAUAAUUAGUAAAAGGGGGCAGACCUUCUAGUACGAAAGGAUCAAUAGGCUGUGUUUCUCUAGUGUACCAAUUGUUUGUAAUUAAUGUAAGGGACUCUUAGUAUCUUGAAGGCAAAAGUAAAGAAAACAAAGGAAAGUCCCUUUAACUUUUUUUUUAAAAAGUUCUACCUUUUUAAUAUAGGAUAUAGGAUAACAUUUUAUGAAUGCAUAGUUGGGUAGCCACAAACAUAAUAGAUAAGUGCUGAAUGUCUAUAAAGCAAGAAUCUAACCCC
This 3782-nucleotide ribosomal RNA is filed under the name Cyclocybe aegerita. RNAcentral's name for it is "large subunit ribosomal RNA". It matches the Rfam family "Bacterial large subunit ribosomal RNA". Lineage: Eukaryota; Fungi; Basidiomycota; Agaricomycetes; Agaricales; Hemipholiotaceae. The record is from RNAcentral.